CGAAAGCCUGACGGAGCAAUACCGCGUGAGGGAGGAAGGCUCUUGGGUUGUAAACCUCUUUUCUCAGGGAAUAAGUUCUGAAGGUACCUGAGGAAUAAGCAUCGGCUAACUCCGUGCCAGCAGCCGCGGUAAUACGGAGGAUGCAAGCGUUAUCCGGAAUGAUUGGGCGUAAAGCGUCCGCAGGUGGCGAUGUAAGUCUGCUGUUAAAGAGUGAGGCUCAACCUCAUAAGAGCAGUGGAAACUACAUGGCUAGAGUACGGUCGGGGUAGAAGGAAUUCCUGGUGUAGCGGUGAAAUGCGUAGAGAUCAGGAAGAACACCGGUGGCGAAAGCGUUCUGCUAGGCCUGUACUGACACUGAGGGACGAAAGCUAGGGGAGCG
This 379-nucleotide ribosomal RNA is filed under the name uncultured Cylindrospermum sp. RNAcentral's name for it is "bacterial SSU rRNA". It matches the Rfam family "Bacterial small subunit ribosomal RNA", at positions 376 to 770 of the family's 1533-position model. The record is from RNAcentral. Lineage: Bacteria; Bacillati; Cyanobacteriota; Cyanophyceae; Nostocales; Nostocaceae.